This 466-nucleotide ribosomal RNA is filed under the name uncultured bacterium. RNAcentral's name for it is "partial 16S ribosomal RNA". It matches the Rfam family "Bacterial small subunit ribosomal RNA", at positions 28 to 507 of the family's 1533-position model. The record is from RNAcentral.
GAUGAACGCUGGCGGCGUGCUUAACACAUGCAAGUCGAACGAUGAAGCCCAGCUUGCUGGGUGGAUUAGUGGCGAACGGGUGAGUAACACGUGAGUAACCUGCCCUUAACUCUGGGAUAAGCCUGGGAAACUGGGUCUAAUACCGGAUAGGAGCGCCUACCGCAUGGUGGGUGUUGGAAAGAUUUAUCGGUUUUGGAUGGACUCGCGGCCUAUCAGCUUGUUGGUGAGGUAAUGGCUCACCAAGGCGACGACGGGUAGCCGGCCUGAGAGGGUGACCGGCCACACUGGGACUGAGACACGGCCCAGACUCCUACGGGAGGCAGCAGUGGGGAAUAUUGCACAAUGGGCGAAAGCCUUAUGCAGCGACGCCGCGUGAGGGAUGACGGCCUUCGGGUUGUAAACCUCUUUCAGUAGGGAAGAAGCGAAAGUGACGGUACCUGCAGAAGAAGCACCGGCUAACUACGUG